GCUGAUGGUCCGGGAGAGGCUCUG
This 24-nucleotide non-coding RNA is filed under the name Cricetulus griseus (Chinese hamster). Lineage: Eukaryota; Metazoa; Chordata; Mammalia; Rodentia; Cricetidae. The record is from RNAcentral.